This is a long non-coding RNA of Passer domesticus (house sparrow), 5160 nucleotides long. RefSeq lists it as uncharacterized. The transcript has 5 exons. The record is from RefSeq and is a predicted model, not a curated record. NCBI's taxonomy places the organism in Eukaryota, Metazoa, Chordata, Aves, Passeriformes, Passeridae.
UGUUUAGAACUCUCAAUUUCUUCACACUCUGUAGGGCCACGUAUGCAUACAGGUGCAAUAAAUCCUUCUGUGUACACUUUCCGUCAUAUAAUAAUGUCCCCAGAAAAGCUGAACCCAGGCUAUUCAGACAUAUUGGCUGCUUGAUAUUUGUCACUCCCCCAUAACUGCAUAAUUUCUAGGUGCUAAACUCAUUUGUGAAGAUAGAGGUAUGGUGGAGAUGACACCCACUAGUAGCAGCAAGUGGUAAAACUGAAAGAGCUUUCUUCUACUCAUUUUACAGUGUGAUGUAUUGGUGUUAUGUUAAUUAUUGAUUGCCUCUUCUAUUUUUAGAGGUGUUGAGGUUGUUUUCUUCUGCUUCUAUGUAGCUUCCUAGCCCCUCUCCAGACAAUCUUUGUUCCUGUGACAAGUCAUAGUAAAAAAAGACAGUUGGCUGAUUUCCUCCCACAUCCCGCAGCCUGAAGUUAUGUUCACUAUGGGUCACCAAGGGAAUUCCAAGGAAAGGUGUUCAAGCAAAGAUCAGCAUGCCUUUUGUGGCACUGUCUCAUAUUGUCUUGUUUCCCUCCAGAGUUAUGAGUGAUCUUUAAUUUAGCAAGAAGUAUGGUGCGUCCGUCCUUGCAAAAAUGAGACUCAGAAUUCAUUGCACCUGUUACUUGGUUUCAGCUUUCAAAGCUAUAUCAAAGCAAAAAAGCCAAAAGAAAAAUAUAUAAGCAAUCUGAUAUUUUUGUACUAUAAUAUAUUCUUUUAAAAUGAUGUCACUGUUAUUUUACUGAUGCAUUCUUGUCCAGAGUAUCAUGGGUGUUUACUACUGAUUGCUUGAGUUAAGCAGUAAUUGCAGAUAAUUAUUCUAUCUGCAAUAAACUGACCAGGGAUUGAAGCAAUAAGGGAUAGAGGGCUAGAUUUAAGAAGAAAUAAUUUUGAAGUUUGAUACAGCCAGAAGCAAAGAGGGAAGUAGUGAGGAAAAGUAAGUUGUACUUUUCUAACAGCAGUGGUUAAAAAUUCACUACAGUUCCUAACUCUACAAUCAUCUGAUGUGAUAAAAUUCUGCUUUGUGUUCCCAAAACUCCUUGUUAUAGGACCUUCAGCAACUCAAGACUAUAGCACCCAAAGACCAUUUUUCAUAUGAUUCACUAUAGCGUGGAAACUUCCUGUGUGCUGGUUUUGUAGACAAGGAAUUCUGGUCAAAGGUUGGACUCAAUUAUCGUAGAGGUCUUUUUUGACCUAAAUGAUUCUGUGAUUACAUGACUCCUGAAGCACUGAGUACCUAAAAGAAGUACACCUCCUACCAAAAACAUCUGAUUCAUCUUUCAUCUAGACCAAGAUGAUUUUACAAGUUGUUUCUUGCCCAAGGUUAUGGAAGCUGGCUAUGAUGGAAGUGUGAAAUGGAUGCAGCUCUUCCAGACCAAACUCAGACUCCCUAGUUUGUCUGCGUGAUGACUCCUUUGGAGACCUUGCACUGAAGCACUACAGUUUCUCCACAGUCUUUUUGAAUUUGAGACACAAAACCAGAGUACUCUGCAGCCAACCUGCUGGCCACACUUCUUUUAAGAUGGAGGGACUGUCUCAACUAUUGGAGAAUUUAACACAGGAAAGCUGGUGUGGGUGUCUUCAUGAGCUGUGAGGGGUAGUGCACUUCAGAAAUGUGGAAAAAAUUAUUUCAGGAUUUGUAGAUCUCACCAUCUUACUGACUACAUAUAAAACUGAAAUUUACAGGACUCUCAGGUCAUCAAGGACAAUAUGAUGGUUUUCAUUUUGUUCAAAAAAGAAUCAACGAUAGUAUUUACAGUGCUAUUAAGGCACAGUGAAAAGUCAAUAGUCCUAUAUUUUCAAUAAGGAUCUUAUUUGGUCAAUAAUGGCAGCCUUGGUGUGUAUUAGUUUAGCUGCUGAUAAAAAUCACUGAAGACAGAGUAUUUACUGUAGGUGGGUUCUGCUGAGCUUAAGUGAUAUGUGUAGGUUUCCAGUCUCUCUAUGUCUAACUUUAAUAUUAUUUUGGGACCAGUUCUGUGUAUAAGCCUAAAUUGUUAUACAUUUGUAGAAAUUUUAUAUUAGAAAAUAUAGACUCACACAAAAAUAAUUAUCUUAACUGGGUCCAUGCUUCAUAUAAUUUUCGAUUUGUCAGUUCUUUCUUCUCUUGCUGAUGGAGUGCUCCCACUGUUAAAAGUAAAACCCCUAUUGAUGCUGCCAAGAACAAGAGAGAAGGUGUUUUGCUUUAUGAGCAAGCAUAGAGAUAACUGGUUGAUUUUUAGGGCCCUGACAAGACAAUUAACACAGAGAGAAAGUGGGGAAAUCUAGACUGAUAUGCUCUGCGAAAAGCAUCUGCCUUACACAUUGGUGGAAAAGGGAUAGCUGGAUGCUAUGCAGGUAAUAAUUUUACUCCUUUGUAGAUCAGUGCUUCCUUUCUCAGUGGAUUCUAUUAAAGUGCGACAUACUGGAGACAAGCAAAAUACUAGCAAGCAUAAAACACCUUGCUUUUAAGCAUAGAUCGUUUUUCCUUCUGGUGAUUAUUCUGAUGAAAUCUGUGUUCUUCAUUUUCCACAAAGUUUUAAAUUAGAAUCCAUAACAUCUCUAAAUUUGCCAAAGAGCAAACUGUAUCUCCAAGAAGUAUUUGCAAGAGAUCAAAACUCCUUCAGGUUUACUCAUCCCAAAAAAUGUCAUGGUAAACCAAAUGGAACCAUGUUCACUAACCAAUCAUAAUUUUCUUUACAUUUCUAGUUACUUGCUACAGACAGCUGUUAACAAUACUUUGUUUGUAAAUGAAACAUGGUGUAAAAUCAGUCCUGUGAGCUAAGGCUCUCAGAUUCUCUCCCUGCUACUGUUGUUGGUCGAGUGCUGUGUGGACUUAAGCACAGCACUUGAGGAAAUUUUAUAAGCUCUGAUGCAGUGCAUUUGGCAAAAACUACUAUAUUUGUUAAGAUGAUGUAUUUUGAAAAUGUCAACCCCUACAUUUCUUUUUUCCCUUAAAACUGUUUUUUUUUUUUUAGGUACUGAUGUAAUAGCAUAUUUUAAUGCUUGUUUUCAGAUUUUCCACACUGAAAUAUGUUACCUUGUAGCUGGAGAAGUAGUUUUUCUAUAUCAGUACUUGCUCCAGGAAAAUAUUACCAAAGGAAAGUUUUCAAUUUGCAAUAUUAAGCUGAGGUCUUCUUACUUCAUUGCAACAAAAUAAUGUUAUGAUGGAAGCUGGCCUUCCUUCUUAUGGCUUCAAAUUUUUAUUCAGUCAGAUUGGACAGGAAUUUUAACCUUAUUCUUGAGAUGUCUCUGAGGAAAAUCCUACUAAACCUUAUAACACUAAAGGGGUAGGAUUGGUGAGUUUUCUUUCAAGCAGCAACCCAGAAAAAAGACUGUCUUUUAAGCUGAUUCUAGCUCUGUUGUAUGAGUUAAACAUCAACAUAAUUUUACAUGAGUCAAAAUGUAUCUGAAAAAAUAAAAAGGUGGCGUUUUUGGCUCCUGCCUGCACAUUCUCAGUUAUUGAGUGGGAGAAGAGCAUUUUCCAGUCAAUCCCAUGAUACUUUUGUUCUCUACUUUUGCAUAGUUUUUGUUGCCUGGGAAGGCGAGGGGGAAGCCUGCAGCCUUCAGAACAGCUAGCACAGGCAUGUGAAUUAAUAUAUACACCCCUACUAAGCUACUGAACAAUGACAUUUUAAAAUUAUAUCUUUUGAGUCCUGUUUACAUUCUUAUGCUUUACCAAAUGAUCCUCUGUGAAUCAGAGGAGGCCCAUCUUUCAUUGCCUAGCAUAUCCCAAUGGAAUGCUGCUCACCAAUUUUAGCAAUACACUUUUUAAUUUUGUUUUUAGCAUCAGGCUGGAUAUGAUCGAAUACCCUCCAACUCACAAGUGCUUUUCUAGCUGCUAGCUGGGUUUUCCUGCUGGAGCGACAGCCUGAUGCACAUUCUCAGACUUGCUGAUGAGUCACCAGACACAAGAGGACUCUGGGAUGGAGCCCAAGCCUGCCACUGGCCCGUGCAGCUGAAAGUCAAUACUGGUUGCUAUUUAGAUCAACGGUAUAAAUGCCAGUGUAUUUGCAACAUUUUAAAGGAUGGUUCAGAAAGCUAGAAGUAAAAAAAAAAAUAAAAAAAUUCCUUUCUCCGAUCCUAAUGCUAGAUUCACAGUGUUUACAAACAGCUGUUGUAACAGACCUAAAGAAGCUCCAAAGAAAUAUGUGACACAUCUGAGAAUCUGACAAUCAAAGUAUUUGUUUGAGUGCAUCCCUUGUCCCUUGUAUGGCUUGGUGUAACUGGAGAUGUGGUCCUGUGUAUUUGUCGCUGUGGCAGCUGUGUGCAUGGCAGCAGCAGCAGCAAUUUGCUGCUUUAUUUACUGCAGCAAAUAGAAAGUGAUCCUGAAGACAGGGGAAUUCAGACAGCAGAGAGAAAGGAGUAAAGCCCACAGGAAAAAAAAUUAUAUAAAUAACUUAUAAAUAAGGAGUCUAGUAGGGGUUCAUGGAACAACUUGGGUGUUAAAGGUAACAACACAACACUUGAAAACAGGUAUUGCACAGCCCCAUUUAUCACUUCAGAGAGGUUUUAGGAAAACAGCAGUCCCACAUGACUCCUACACUCCAUUUCUUCCUCACUUUGGCUGUUCCUACACCCACCUUCCAUCUCACUCUGACAUCCUAUAGGGAGAACUGGCUUUUGUAGUCCCUUCUGGGGCUGAAGGUAAAGCAAAGACUUCAGAUCUCUUCCCCAGAGAAAUAGACUACAGUGUUAAGAGCAGAAAAAUUCACAGAAGCAACAUAUUACAGAAAUUAUGCAGAGUGAACACAAAACUACAUGCAGUUGUUUCAUUAAGAAAACACUUCAAGCCAACUGAAUUGUGGUCAGGCAAGGGAUGAUUUUCAGUGCAAAGAACAUAUUAGGAGAGGAAGUGGCUGUACACAAAAAAUAUCACACCUUACCUGUUCCCAGGAGCAACUGCUGGAAUCCUUGUAUUAUAAACUGUUGUUCCUAAAGGACACGUAUCAAUGGCAAUGUCCUUGUGCAGGUAAUUCUAAUUUUUAUUGAACUUUAUGUUUUGUGCAGGGCUUUAAAGAUACCAUCUUUAGGUUACAUUCUUUAUAUAACAUAAAUGGCUUAUGUUUGCCCUACUAACAAAAACUCAUAGCUUUUAAAAUGCUUGGAAAAAGAUUUCUGGCAUUUUUUACAUAAGUAAAGUUUAGAGAAAAUAGAUGU